RNAcentral lists this ribosomal RNA (533 nucleotides) under uncultured Clostridium sp. RNAcentral's name for it is "bacterial SSU rRNA". It matches the Rfam family "Bacterial small subunit ribosomal RNA", at positions 70 to 617 of the family's 1533-position model. Lineage: Bacteria; Bacillati; Bacillota; Clostridia; Eubacteriales; Clostridiaceae. The record is from RNAcentral.
GAUUUCUUCGGAAUGAAAAUAAGUGGAUUAGUGGCGAACGGGUGAGUAACACGUGAGUAACCUGCCUUACACAAGGGGAUAGCCUUUGGAAACGAAGAAUAAUACCCUAUGACGUCAAUUUAUCGCAUGAUAGAAUGACCAAAGAUUUAUCGGUGUAAGAUGGACUUGCGUCUGAUUAGCUAGUUGGUGAGAUAAAAGCCCACCAAGGCGACGAUCAGUAGCCGGCUUGAGAGAGUGUACGGCCACAUUGGGACUGAGACACGGCCCAAACUCCUACGGGAGGCAGCAGUGGGGAAUUUUGCACAAUGGGGGAAACCCUGAUGCAGCGACGCCGCGUGAUUUAGAAGGCCUUCGGGUUGUAAAAAUCUUUUUUAUGGGAUGAAAAUGACAGUACCAUAAGAAUAAGGUCCGGCUAAAUACGUGCCAGCAGCCGCGGUAAUACGUAUGGACCGAGCGUUGUCCGGAAUCAUUGGGCGUAAAGGGUACGUAGGCGGCCUAGUAAGUUAGAAGUGAUAUAAUAUAGCUCAACUAUA